Molecule: non-coding RNA, 143 nt
Organism: Leptonychotes weddellii (Weddell seal)
Lineage: Eukaryota; Metazoa; Chordata; Mammalia; Carnivora; Phocidae
Source: RefSeq, a predicted model, not a curated record
AGCUUUGCGCAGUGGCAGUAUCGUAGCCAAUGAGGUUUAUCCGAGGCGCGAUUAUUGCUAAUAGAAGUCGGCUCCGCUGAGGGACGUGGCUCCAGUGGCUAAGCGGGGGUGGAACCCUCACGGGACAAUGUGGUCUCAGGACC